Molecule: ribosomal RNA, 467 nt
Filed under: uncultured bacterium
Lineage: Bacteria
Description: partial 16S ribosomal RNA
Rfam family: Bacterial small subunit ribosomal RNA
Source: RNAcentral
GACGAACGCUGGCGGCGUGCUUAACACAUGCAAGUCGAACGGAAAGGCCCUGCUUUUGUGGGGUGCUCGAGUGGCAAACGGGUGAGUAACACGUGAGUAACCUGCCCUCGACUGUGGGAUAACGUCAGUAAACUGUGGCUAAUACCGGAUAGGAGCUCCUGCUGCAUGGUGGGGGUUGGAAAGUUUCGGCGGUUGGGGAUGGACACGCGGCUUAUCAGCUUGUGGGUGGGGUAGUGGCUUACCAAGGCUUUGACGGGUAGCCGGCCUGAGAGGGUGACCGGCCACAUUGGGGCUGAGAUACGGCGCAGACUCCUACGGGAGGGAGAGGUGGGGAAUAUUGCACAAUGGGCGGAAGACUGAUGCGGAAACGCCGCGUGCGGGAUGAGGGCGUUCGGGGUGUAAACCGCUUUCGCCUGGGAGGAGGCGUGAGUGACGGUACUGGGGAAAGAAGCACGGGUUACCUACGG